AAUAUAGGAUUGUGGGGGCAACUCUGAUCUAGCCAAGCCGUGCGUGUGAAGAAGGUCAUCGGAUUGUAAUGCACAUUAAGUUGAGAGGAAGGGCCUGAUGCUAAUGCAAUGAAGCUUGGACGUUACCAACAGAAAAAGCACCGGCUAACUCCGUUCCAUCAGCCGCGGUAAUACAGAGGGUGCAAGCGUUAAUCGGAAUUACUGGGCGUAAAGAGCGCGUAGGUGGUUCAGUAAGAUGGGUGUGAAGUCCCCGGGCUUAACCUGGGAACUGCUUUCAUAACUGCUGAGCUAGAAUACGAUAGAGGGUAGUGGAAUUACCUGUGUAGCGGUGAAGUGCGUAGAUAUAAGAAGGAACAACAGUGGCGAAGGCGACUACCUGGACUGAUACUGACGCUGAGGUGCGAAAGCGUGGAGAGCAAACA
RNAcentral lists this ribosomal RNA (422 nucleotides) under uncultured bacterium. Its description in RNAcentral is "partial 16S ribosomal RNA". It matches the Rfam family "Bacterial small subunit ribosomal RNA", at positions 359 to 774 of the family's 1533-position model. The record is from RNAcentral.